GAUGAACGCUGGCGGCGUGCCUAAUACAUGCAAGUCGAGCGAACAGACGAGGAGCUUGCUCCUCUGACGUUAGCGGCGGACGGGUGAGUAACACGUGGAUAACCUACCUAUAAGACUGGGAUAACUUCGGGAAACCGGAGCUAAUACCGGAUAAUAUAUUGAACCGCAUGGUUCAAUAGUGAAAGACGGUUUUGCUGUCACUUAUAGAUGGAUCCGCGCCGCAUUAGCUAGUUGGUAAGGUAACGGCUUACCAAGGCAACGAUGCGUAGCCGACCUGAGAGGGUGAUCGGCCACACUGGAACUGAGACACGGUCCAGACUCCUACGGGAGGCAGCAGUAGGGAAUCUUCCGCAAUGGGCGAAAGCCUGACGGAGCAACGCCGCGUGAGUGAUGAAGGUCUUCGGAUCGUAAAACUCUGUUAUUAGUGAAGAACAAAUGUGUAAGUAACUAUGCACGUCUUGACGGUACCUAAUCAGAAAGCCACGGCUAACUACGUG
RNAcentral lists this ribosomal RNA (497 nucleotides) under uncultured bacterium. Its description in RNAcentral is "partial 16S ribosomal RNA". It matches the Rfam family "Bacterial small subunit ribosomal RNA", at positions 28 to 507 of the family's 1533-position model. The record is from RNAcentral.